UCCGGUUUGUCACCGGCAGUCUCGCAUGAGUCCCCAACUGAAUGCUGGCAACAUGCGACAGGGGUUGCGCUCGUUGCGGGACUUAACCCAACAUCUCACGGCACGAGCUGACGACAGCCAUGCACCACCUGUGCACAGGCCCCGAAGGGCUGCCGUAUUUCUACGACAUUCCUGUGCAUGUCAAGCCUAGGUAAGGUUCUUCGCGUCGCGUCGAAUUAAACAACACGCUCCACCGCUUGUGCGGGUCCCCGUCAAUUCCUUUAUGUUUUAAGCUUGCGCUCGUACUCCACAGGCGGGAUGCUUAACGCGUUAGCUGCGCCACCGAAGAGCAAGCUCCCCGACGGCUAGCAUCCAUCGUUUACGGCGUGGACUAC
Molecule: unclassified non-coding RNA, 374 nt
Filed under: uncultured bacterium
Lineage: Bacteria
Description: contains 16S-23S intergenic spacer region
Source: RNAcentral